CCUACGGGUGGCAGCAGUGAGGAAUAUUGGUCAAUGGGCGCGAGCCUGAACCAGCCAAGUAGCGUGAAGGAUGACUGCCCUACGGGUUGUAAACUUCUUUUAUAAAGGAAUAAAGUGAGGCACGUGUGCCUUUUUGCAUGUACCUUAUGAAUAAGGAUCGGCUAAUUCCGUGCCAGCAGCCGCGGUAAUACGGAGGAUCCGAGCGUUAUCCGGAUUUAUUGGGGUUAAAGGGAGCGUAGAUGGGUUGUUAAGUCAGUUGUGAAAGUUUGCGGCUCAACCGUAGAAUUGCAAUUGAUACUGGCAGUCUUGAGUACAGUAGAGGUAGGCGGAAUUCGUGGUGUAGCGGUGAAAUGCUUAGAUAUCACGAAGAACUCCGAUUGCGAAGGCAGCUUACUAAACUGCCACUGACAUUGAUGCUCGAAGGUGUGGGUAUCAAACAGGAUUAGAUACCCGAGUAGUC
Molecule: ribosomal RNA, 460 nt
Filed under: uncultured bacterium
Lineage: Bacteria
Description: partial 16S ribosomal RNA
Rfam family: Bacterial small subunit ribosomal RNA
Source: RNAcentral